This 497-nucleotide ribosomal RNA is filed under the name uncultured bacterium. RNAcentral describes it as "partial 16S ribosomal RNA". It matches the Rfam family "Bacterial small subunit ribosomal RNA", at positions 28 to 507 of the family's 1533-position model. The record is from RNAcentral.
GAUGAACGCUGGCGGCGUGCCUAAUACAUGCAAGUCGAGCGAACAGACGAGGAGCUUGCUCCUCUGACGUUAGCGGCGGACGGGUGAGUAACACGUGGAUAACCUACCUAUAAGACUGGGAUAACUUCGGGAAACCGGAGCUAAUACCGGAUAAUAUAUUGAACCGCAUGGUUCAAUAGUGAAAGACGGUUUUGCUGUCACUUAUAGAUGGAUCCGCGCCGCAUUAGCUAGUUGGUAAGGUAACGGCCUACCAAGGCAACGAUGCGUAGCCGACCUGAGAGGGUGAUCGGCCACACUGGAACUGAGACACGGUCCAGACUCCUACGGGAGGCAGCAGUAGGGAAUCUUCCGCAAUGGGCGAAAGCCUGACGGAGCAACGCCGCGUGAGUGAUGAAGGUCUUCGGAUCGUAAAACUCUGUUAUUAGGGAAGAACAAUUGUGUAAGUAACUAUGCACGUCUUGACGGUACCUAAUCAGAAAGCCACGGCUAACUACGUG